This 3816-nucleotide long non-coding RNA is filed under the name Sus scrofa (pig). Its description in RNAcentral is "lncRNA (ENSSSCG00060023354.1)". Lineage: Eukaryota; Metazoa; Chordata; Mammalia; Artiodactyla; Suidae. The record is from RNAcentral.
GCGGCCCCGGGGCCAUAGCAGAAACGGCGCCCACACCGAGCCCACUGCGCGGGGGCAGGGUCCGAGGGGAGGCAGGGAGUCCACGUCUCCCGUUUCAGAAUCACGGAAGAAAAUCUUCCCGAUUCAGUUCACGGUCCUGAGGGGCAAAAAUGUCUGUUCUGCGAGGGUCACUCAGUUCCGGUCUGGUGGGGGGCGGGGGAGCACGCUGACAGCCAGUUGCCCCGGCGGGAGCCCUGGACCCUGGCUUUUCAUCACAGCCAGAAUCUGUGCUGGGAUCCAGUUGGCCAUCCUGGCCUCCCCAGUCCUCAGGGUCUGGGGAACAGAAAAAGAGCGCGGGGCGGGGGGCCUGGAGGCGGUGGGGUGGAGUGGAGUACAGAACGGCCUUCGUGUCCCUGGCGUCUCCGGAGGGGCUGGCUCCCAGCUCCAUUCUGAGGAGUUGGAAUCCCACCCAGUCCUGUUGUUGUGAUCUCAAUUCAAGAGGAAGGUGUGAUAUGGCGUCUGUCUGGGUUGGAUACCGAGGGACAAUGAGAGAUCAUCCAGGCUUUAGCCCAUCUGUGGAUGCUGAGGCGAUUCGUAAGGCAGUCAAACAAAUCGGAACUGAUGAGAAGACGCACAUCAGCAUUCUGACUGAGAGGUCGAAUGCACAGCGGCAGCUGACUGUUAAGGAAUAUCAAGUAGCAUAUGGAAAGGAAGUGAUAAAAUAUCCCAACCCAACCAGCUCCUGCCCCAGGCAUCCUGUCAGGCCCUAUUGGCCAGAAUAGGGUAAGAUGCUCUCCACACCCCCAGCCACUCCUAACAAAGAGGAAGGGGAGGACCGGGAUGGAUUUCCUGCAGUCACGAUGCAUUCCCAGGUAGCCCAUUGAUUGCAUCAGGAGACCCGAACAGUUCACAUUUUAUUCAUGAGUAUUACUGUGGUUCCGGGUAGAAGAAAUGGCUGCUGGGAAAAUACCAACAAUGUUUGUAAGGACAGUCACGGACCAAAAGUCCGCAGAGGGUAUGGAUUGUCCUUGGAGCUGAAGAAGUCACGGAAGAUAGGGAGUUCCCAUUGUGGGACAGCAGAAGUGAAUCCGAGCAUCAUCCGUGAGAAUUUGGGUUCGAUCCCUGGCCUCACCAGUGGGUCAGGGAUCCAGUGUUGCUGUGAGCUGUGGAGUAGGUUGCAGAUGCAGCUUGGAUCCUGCAUUGCUGGCCCUGUGGUGUAGGCUGGCUGCUGCAGCUCCUAUUAGAGCUCUGGUCUGGGAAGGUCCAUGUACCACGGCUGUGGCCUAAAAAAACAGUUACAGAAAAUAAAGACAGGGGUGCAGUGGUGCCGGCAGCACAUGGGACUAAGGUCUUCAGUGAUGACCACAACGACAGAGAAGGGACAAAUGACUGCCCAGGAGGAGUGAUGAGGCUGUGUCUAGGAAGGCCACAACCACCUUACCAGACGGGCGGCCUGCUCCCUCUGUUGCCCUGGACCCUCGGGUGUGAGGACCGAUCCUCUGCUCAGAGUCCAGCCUCCUCUGUCCUCCUUGCUUCAUUCUACCUGCAGCCCACCCAUCUUUCUUUGGAUCUGCCUUUCUUUGAGAAGUUAUCCUCUGUAUUGGCUAUCAGGUGGCAGAACCUGUGGACCCAAAAGGAGCAGUUGCACUGGCAGGGACUAGGUGGACUUCGGGUCGCCAUGGAAAACUCUUGGUGGAGCACAGGCAAGAGUUGGGGCGGGAGGACCUGCACCCCAUAAGAAAUACCCACCAGCUCUCAGAUCCUCGAGGGUUGUAGGAGCACCGAGACAUUCAAGCUGGGAAAUGAAGACUGUGAUAGGGCAGAGUGAGACCCAAGCUUCCCCGGGCAAUGGCAGCGUGAGCUCCUGUCCAACUGCCAAAAGAUGAGAGUUGGCAUCUUACCAGAAUGUUUGGAGGGAUAGGAUGAGAGACGCCUGGCCAUUGGCCGGAAGCGCAUGGUGGGGGAGGGGGUUGCGGAAGCUGCCUCGUGAUUGGCCCGGGCCACGGGGAUGUCACAGGGAGGCAUUGUGACUUGAGGGCAAGGCAGUUAUAAAAGCCCAGUGCUUCCACCGUCUCCCAGACGGAGGAUAUGGCUUUUCAGCUGUUCCUGCUCUUGCUCUUCAAGGCGGUGUCCUCUGCCGCCUUCUCUGCGCCUGCACAUGGCAUGCCCCAGGCCCACCUGUCCUGCCCCGGGCCUCUCACCCACACUUGGUGUACCACAUUCCUGUUCGCAUCCAGCUUUGAGCCCCUUUGCGGGCGGAUGAGCCUACGCACCCGCACCCGGCGCCUCCUCCACCCGCAGCCCUCCUCGGGCCUGGCCCAGCUCCUCAACACUGUGCUCAGGUUCUACAACAGGGGCUUGGACGUCUGGAACCAGAACCAAGCAGACCCCCACGCGGAGGGGAAGCACCCCUCCCAGCCCUGUUGGCCAAGAGACCUGGACACGUGCCACGCCUCCAACUCCACACUGCACAGAAGGCAGCUGGCCACCCCUCCUCAGACAUCCAUGGACCCCAGAUCCAAGAUCUCCACCUUGGCCCUCCUGCUCCACAAAGGAGAGUCACAGACUCACAGGGCGAGUUCCUGUACCUCCUGCCCACCUCCAUGCAACCUCUCAAAGGGCUCUCCAGCCCAUGUGGGACCACCAGCCUGGGUGAGGCGACUGGUCCAGUUAGGGCCACCAGUCCUGGCAGGGCCAAAAGUCCAGGCAAGGCGACCAGCCCAGGUGGGACCACCAGCCCAGGUGAGGACACCAGCCCAGGAAGGACCAGCAGCCCAGAUGGGACCAGUGGCCCUGGUGAUGCUACCACCACAGGUGGGACCAACAGCCCAUGUGGGGACGUUUCCCCAGGCAGGAGCAACAGCCCAAGUGGGGCCACCAAGCCUUGCGGGACCAAUGGCCCCAAUAGGGACAGCAGCCCAGGUGAUGGGGCCACUAGACCAGGCCACGACUCCAGCUGAUGCCAGGCUACCAGCCCAGGCAGGCCCAGCAUACCAGGUGGGGCCACCACUCCAGGCAAGUCCACCCGCCCAGAUGUGUCCGUCACCCCAGGCGAGGCUACCAACCCAGGUGGGGACACCAGCUCCUCUGGUGCCACCAGCCCAGUCAGGUCCACCAGCCCAGGUGGGGCCAACACCCCAGGCGGGGACACCAGCCCAGGCAGGGACACCAGGAUCGGCGAGGAUACCAGCCCAGGCGGAACCAACAUGCCAGGCCAGGCCAACAGCCCAGACGGGGACACCAGCCAUGACAGAAACCCUGUGGUCACAGCUAGGCUUUGGAAACAUUGAGAGUUUGCUCCUUCUGUUGACUCGCUGUGCUCUGGUGCUGCUCUUUUCCUUCUGGACAUUUAUCUCAUGCAGAGAGAUAAAGGACUACCGUGAGUUCCAACAAGAGCAGCUGGCAGAGCUGGGCAAAGGAUUGAAGAUGAUGGGUAAAGCCCUGGGAGAACUUGAGAAGACACUAAAUGCAGAAAGAGAACAUAAAAAUCAUCUUUCCAAGGAGCUGUCUGAGCUAAAGGCAGAGCUCAGAAUUUCUGAAAAGGAAACAGAGAGAUGGAAAAAGCUGUUUUUUCUAUUGUCCCGGGCACAACACCUUUUGAAGGCCUUCCCAGAAGAUGCAAAGGGGCACUGUGUGCAGGUGGAGCAGGGCCCUUAGAGGCAGGCCCAGGCCUGGGAGCUGGAGAGUUUCUUCCUCCCUGUGCACGCCCCCUAGAGGGGGAGAAGAGGGGUGGGGAGGGAGGGCAAAGCGGAGGCUAGGGUAGGGGUGCUGGGACAGAGACGUGGCCUGAAUUUCAUGAUGUAUGUAUAUUUUGAAUAAAUAAUUGAAUGUUGGAAG